RNAcentral lists this ribosomal RNA (354 nucleotides) under uncultured bacterium. RNAcentral describes it as "bacterial SSU rRNA". It matches the Rfam family "Bacterial small subunit ribosomal RNA", at positions 1 to 334 of the family's 1533-position model. The record is from RNAcentral.
CUAGCGACUUCAGAGUUUGAUCCUGGCUCAGGAUGAACGCUGGCGGCGUGCUUAACACAUGCAAGUCGAACGGAGAUUGUAAGCGGAAGUUUUCGGAUGGAAGCUUAUAAUCUUAGUGGCGGACGGGUGAGUAACGCGUGGGUAACCUGCCGUAUACAGGGGGAUAACACUUAGAAAUAGGUGCUAAUACCGCAUAAGCGCACGGUGUCGCAUGACACAGUGUGAAAAGCCGAGACGGUAUACGAUGGACCCGCGUCUGAUUAGCUAGUUGGUGGGGUAGAGGCCCACCAAGGCGACGAUCAGUAGCCGGCCUGAGAGGGUGACCGGCCACAUUGGGACUGAGACACGGCCCAA